Molecule: ribosomal RNA, 1446 nt
Filed under: uncultured organism
Description: SSU rRNA
Rfam family: Bacterial small subunit ribosomal RNA
Source: RNAcentral
GCGACAGGCUUAACACAUGCAAGUCGAGGGGCAGCGGGGGUAGCAAUACCCGCCGGCGACCGGCGCACGGGUGAGUAACGCGUAUGCAACUUACCUAUCAGAGGGGGAUAACCCGGCGAAAGUCGGACUAAUACCGCAUGAAGCAGGGGCCCCGCAUGGGGAUAUUUGCUAAAGAUUCAUCGCUGAUAGAUAGGCAUGCGUUCCAUUAGGCAGUUGGCGGGGUAACGGCCCACCAAACCGACGAUGGAUAGGGGUUCUGAGAGGAAGGUCCCCCACAUUGGUACUGAGACACGGACCAAACUCCUACGGGAGGCAGCAGUGAGGAAUAUUGGUCAAUGGCCGAGAGGCUGAACCAGCCAAGUCGCGUGAGGGAUGAAGGUUCUAUGGAUCGUAAACCUCUUUUAUAAGGGAAUAAAGUGCGGGACGUGUCCCGUUUUGUAUGUACCUUAUGAAUAAGGAUCGGCUAACUCCGUGCCAGCAGCCGCGGUAAUACGGAGGAUCCGAGCGUUAUCCGGAUUUAUUGGGUUUAAAGGGUGCGUAGGCGGCCUUUUAAGUCAGCGGUGAAAGUCUGUGGCUCAACCAUAGAAUUGCCGUUGAAACUGGGGGGCUUGAGUAUGUUUGAGGCAGGCGGAAUGCGUGGUGUAGCGGUGAAAUGCAUAGAUAUCACGCAGAACCCCGAUUGCGAAGGCAGCCUGCCAAGCCAUGACUGACGCUGAUGCACGAAAGCGUGGGGAUCAAACAGGAUUAGAUACCCUGGUAGUCCACGCAGUAAACGAUGAUCACUAGCUGUUUGCGAUACACUGUAAGCGGCACAGCGAAAGCGUUAAGUGAUCCACCUGGGGAGUACGCCGGCAACGGUGAAACUCAAAGGAAUUGACGGGGGCCCGCACAAGCGGAGGAACAUGUGGUUUAAUUCGAUGAUACGCGAGGAACCUUACCCGGGUUUGAACGCAUUCGGACCGAGGUGGAAACACCUUUUCUAGCAAUAGCCGUUUGCGAGGUGCUGCAUGGUUGUCGUCAGCUCGUGCCGUGAGGUGUCGGCUUAAGUGCCAUAACGAGCGCAACCCUUGCCACUAGUUACUAACAGGUAAAGCUGAGGACUCUGGUGGGACUGCCAGCGUAAGCUGCGAGGAAGGCGGGGAUGACGUCAAAUCAGCACGGCCCUUACAUCCGGGGCGACACACGUGUUACAAUGGCGUGGACCAAGGGAGGCCACCUGGCGACAGGGAGCGAAUCCCCAAACCACGUCUCAGUUCGGAUCGGAGUCUGCAACCCGACUCCGUGAAGCUGGAUUCGCUAGUAAUCGCGCAUCAGCCAUGGCGCGGUGAAUACGUUCCCGGGCCUUGUACACACCGCCCGUCAAGCCAUGGGAGCCGGGGGUACCUGAAGUCCGUAACCGCGAGGAUCGGCCUAGGGUAAAACUGGUGACUGGGGCUAAGUCAUAAC